GACGAACGCUGGCGGCGUGCUUAACACAUGCAAGUCGAACGGUGAAGGGACUGGUUUUGCUGGUCCUGGAUGAGUGGCGAACGGGUGAGUAACACGUGAGUAACCUGCCCCCUUCUUCUGGAUAACCGCAUGAAAGUGUGGCUAAUACGGGAUAUUCUGGGUCUGUCGCAUGGUGGGCCUGGGAAAGAUUGCGCCUUUUUUGGUGUUUUUGGUGGGGGAUGGGCUCGCGGCCUAUCAGCUUGUUGGUGGGGUGAUGGCCUACCAAGGCGGUGACGGGUAGCCGGCCUGAGAGGGUGGACGGUCACACUGGGACUGAGACACGGACCAGACUCCUACGGGAGGCAGCAGUGGGGAAUAUUGCACAAUGGGCGCAAGCCUGAUGCAGCGACGCCGCGUGAGGGAUGGAGGCCUUCGGGUUGUGAACCUCUUUCGCCAGUGAAGCAGGCCUGCCUCUUUUUGUGGGUGGGUUGACGGUAGCUGGAGAAGAAGCGCCGGCUAACUACGUG
This 506-nucleotide ribosomal RNA is filed under the name uncultured bacterium. RNAcentral's name for it is "partial 16S ribosomal RNA". It matches the Rfam family "Bacterial small subunit ribosomal RNA", at positions 28 to 507 of the family's 1533-position model. The record is from RNAcentral.